AAAUCUACGGGGGGCAGCAGUGGGGAAUAUUGCACAAUGGGGGAAACCCUGAUGCAGCGACGCCGCGUGAGUGAUGAAGUAUUUCGGUAUGUAAAGCUCUAUCAGCAGGGAAGAUAAUGACGGUACCUGACUAAGAAGCUCCGGCUAAAUACGUGCCAGCAGCCGCGGUAAUACGUAUGGAGCAAGCGUUAUCCGGAUUUAUUGGGUGUAAAGGGUGCGUAGGCGGAAUAUCAAGUCAGCGGUAAAAAUUCGGGGCUCAACCCCGUCGUGCCGUUGAAACUGAUGUGCUUGAGUGGGCGAGAAGG
RNAcentral lists this ribosomal RNA (305 nucleotides) under uncultured bacterium. RNAcentral's name for it is "bacterial SSU rRNA". It matches the Rfam family "Bacterial small subunit ribosomal RNA", at positions 335 to 658 of the family's 1533-position model. The record is from RNAcentral.